Molecule: long non-coding RNA, 455 nt
Filed under: Pan troglodytes (chimpanzee)
Lineage: Eukaryota; Metazoa; Chordata; Mammalia; Primates; Hominidae
Description: long non-coding RNA NONPTRT001831
Source: RNAcentral
AUAUCACCUAGUUAGCUCUGUUUGUAUAUGGUAUCUAUGUGAAUUUUGACUGUUUCUCCCCUCUCUUCUUUAGUCAUUACCCCUGUUUUUGGUUCAUUCCUAUCAGCAGUGUCUUGUUGGCUUCUGCCCUUACCCUGAAUCCCUUAAGCCCUGUGUACAGUGAGUAUCAUAAUUCAUAAUUGUAAUAAUGUCACAAGCUUACCAAGGUUGCUACAUGAAACAGAAGAAAAUUAAAUUUGGUGUUAUUUAUUUUUAUAAAGAGACAGCAUCAUGGGGUUUCGCCAUGUUGGUCGGGCUGGUCUUAAACUCCUGAUCUCAGGUGAUCCACCCACCUUGCCAGUGAACCACCACAGCACCCGGCCCGUUUUUGGUUUUUUUUGUUUGUUUGUUUUUUGAGCCAGAGUAUUGCUCUGUUGCCCUGGCUGGAGUGCCGAAGUGCCAUCUUGGUUCACGGC